RNAcentral lists this ribosomal RNA (433 nucleotides) under uncultured bacterium. Its description in RNAcentral is "partial 16S ribosomal RNA". It matches the Rfam family "Bacterial small subunit ribosomal RNA", at positions 29 to 505 of the family's 1533-position model. The record is from RNAcentral.
AGCGAACGCUGGCGGCAGGCUUAACACAUGCAAGUCGAGCGGGCACUUUCGGGUGUCAGCGGCGGACGGGUGAGUAACGCGUGGGAACGUGCCCUCUGGUUCGGAAUAACUCAGGGAAACUUGAGCUAAUACCGGAUACGCCCUUUUGGGGAAAGGCUUGCUGCCGGAGGAUCGGCCCGCGUCUGAUUAGCUAGUUGGUGAGGUAACGGCUCACCAAGGCGACGAUCAGUAGCUGGUCUGAGAGGAUGAUCGGCCACACUGGGACUGAGACACGGCCCAGACUCCUACGGGAGGCAGCAGUGGGGAAUAUUGGACAAUGGGCGCAAGCCUGAUCCAGCCAUGCCGCGUGAGUGAUGAAGGCCUUAGGGUUGUAAAGCUCUUUUAUCCGGGACGAUAAUGACGGUACCGGAGGAAUAAGCCCCGGCUAACUUCG